Molecule: non-coding RNA, 76 nt
Organism: Aedes albopictus (Asian tiger mosquito)
Lineage: Eukaryota; Metazoa; Arthropoda; Insecta; Diptera; Culicidae
Source: Rfam
UGUUCUGUGGCGUAGUUAGUUAACGUGUCCAGCCUAGCGAAACGGGAAGCCAUGGGUUCAAAUCCCACCAGAACAA